Molecule: ribosomal RNA, 880 nt
Filed under: Halomicrobium sp. HArcht-Cr
Lineage: Archaea; Methanobacteriati; Methanobacteriota; Halobacteria; Halobacteriales; Haloarculaceae
Description: bacterial SSU rRNA
Rfam family: Archaeal small subunit ribosomal RNA
Source: RNAcentral
UGCUAGUCGCGCGGGUUUAGACCCGCGGCAGAUAGCUCAGUAACACGUGGCCAAACUACCCUAUGGACGGGAAUAACCUCGGGAAACUGAGGCUAAUCCCCGAUACAGCUCUCAGACUGGAGUGUCGAGAGCUGGAAACGCUCCGGCGCCAUAGGAUGUGGCUGCGGCCGAUUAGGUAGACGGUGGGGUAACGGCCCACCGUGCCUAUAAUCGGUACGGGUUGUGAGAGCAAGAACCCGGAGACGGUAUCUGAGACAAGAUACCGGGCCCUACGGGGCGCAGCAGGCGCGAAACCUUUACACUGCACGACAGUGCGAUAGGGGGACUCCGAGUGCGAGGGCAUAUAGCCCUCGCUUUUCUGUACCGUAAGGUGGUACAGGAACAAGUGCUGGGCAAGACCGGUGCCAGCCGCCGCGGUAAUACCGGCAGCACGAGUGAUGGCCGCUAUUAUUGGGCCUAAAGCGUUCGUAGCCGGCCGGUCAAGUCUGUUGGGAAAUCGACGCGCUCAACGCGUCGGCGUCCAGCGGAAACUGACUGGCUUGGGGCCGGAAGAUCUGAGGGGUACGUCCGGGGUAGGAGUGAAAUCCCGUAAUCCUGGACGGACCACCGGUAGCGAAAGCGCCUCAGAAAGACGGACCCGACGGUGAGGAACGAAAGCUAGGGUCUCGAACCGGAUUAGAUACCCGGGUAGUCCUAGCUGUAAACGAUGCUCGCUAGGUGUGCCGCAGGCUACGAGCCUGCGCUGUGCCGUAGGGAAGCCGAGAAGCGAGCCGCCUGGGAAGUACGUCUGCAAGGAUGAAACUUAAAGGAAUUGGCGGGGGAGCACUACAACCGGAGGAGCCUGCGGGUUUAAUUGGACUCAACGCCGGGACAUCUCACC